This 322-nucleotide long non-coding RNA is filed under the name Sus scrofa (pig). Its description in RNAcentral is "lncRNA (ENSSSCG00030069299.1)". The record is from RNAcentral. Lineage: Eukaryota; Metazoa; Chordata; Mammalia; Artiodactyla; Suidae.
CAUCAAGUCAUAGCUUUGCGGGCAAUAGAUCAGAGGAUAUUGCCAGUUUUCUAAUGGAUUAUUGUUAUCGGGCAGGUUUUCUCUGAAGGAGUCACGGAGAAGGAGAUAUCUAAAGUGAUACUUGUUGGCCCCUCCGUAACUGGACCGAUGGCGAUAUUAGACAGUUCCAGAAGAGUAAGGAGCAUGUAAACGUACCUGAGGAUUGCCAUGAAGGACCAAAUGAGGUAAACUGACCUGGAAGAGAAGUUCUAUAAUAAUAGCAUCUGUUAUUUAACAAUUAUUUAGUAAGUAUUAUCUGAUAUAACAAAGGUAUUAAAAAAAG